This 253-nucleotide ribosomal RNA is filed under the name uncultured bacterium. RNAcentral describes it as "partial 16S ribosomal RNA". It matches the Rfam family "Bacterial small subunit ribosomal RNA", at positions 524 to 776 of the family's 1533-position model. The record is from RNAcentral.
UACGUAGGGGGCAAGCGUUGUCCGGAUUUAUUGGGCGUAAAGAGCGUGUAGGCGGCUUUACAGGUCCGUUGUGAAAACUCGAGGCUCAACCUCGAGACGCCGGUGGAAACCGUAAGGCUAGAGUCCGGAAGAGGAGAGUGGAAUUCCUGGUGUAGCGGUGAAAUGCGCAGAUAUCAGGAGGAACGCCCGUGGCGAAAGCGGCUCUCUGGGACGGUACUGACGCUGAGACGCGAAAGCGUGGGGAGCAAACAGG